UCUGAUAAGCAAGGGCUCACCAAUUUUUUGUGGUCCGUAGUGUACACGAUAUCUACUACUUGAGGCAGCCACCAAAACUCUGACAUGGACUACUUUUACGACAAUCAUUGGAUCACACAAAUUAUUUUACUCUCUCUUUUGUCCAUAUACUUAGUAAAAAUGUCAGUAAAAAUCUUAAUUUAACUUCUAUUUAUUUUUUUAAAUCGCCGUAAUCUCUCCCUCUCUCUGUAUAUAUAGGUCAUGGGGGGUGUAAAAGAAAAUCAAUGAGAUGAACAACUCAAUUUGCUCUCUCUACUAAGGUCGUGUUUGGUUGAAACACUGAAGUUCAGGUAAUCAUUUGUAGGAGCCAAUCAAGGCUCUGAAAUGCAUAUGAUAUUCAAGCGAUUAAUCAUCGGUGGAGAGAUUGUUGAACAAGAAGGCGAGUGGGAGAAAGAAAGAUAAAGAAUCCAAAUAGCAUACGUUUCUAGCUUUACAUUCGGAGGAUUAUUAAUCUAAGAAGAUUUUAAGAGUAUCUAAAAGAUUCAUAUAAAUCAGCGAGAUUCCAGCAUACGUUCCGAAACGGUUAUGUUCUGUAUGUGUAUAUAUUUGUUGAAGGGGAAUCUCAAUUCCCAGUAGCUCUGAGCUUUCACCUUGUUGAUGAGUAUUCAAUUCCCCACCCUGAAGUAAAGCGUAUUGUUUCAAGUGAGAGAUUUGAGGCAACGGCAGCAACAAUGAUGAGGAAAGAGUCGGCGAAUGUGACCAGUACCGAACCUCAGAUGAAAAAUGAAGUGCAAUUUGCAAAGUGCGAGUGCUGUGGAUUGACGGAGGAGUGUACAGAGGCGUACAUAGCGAGAGUUCGGGAACGGAACCAAGGGAGGUGGAUAUGUGGACUAUGCGCAGAGGCGGUGAAGGACGAGAUGAUGAGAUCGAAGACAUCGGAGACAAGGAUCGGAAGAGAUGAAGCUUUGAAUCGACACAUGACAUUUUGCAAGAAAUUCAGAGCAAAAAGUCUGCCACCCAAUCCGACAGACGAGUUGAUAUCAGCGGUGAAGCAGUUGUUGCUGAGGAGCUUGGAUUCGCCGAGGUCAAGCAGAGGAGGUCUUGCUCGAUCACAGAGUUGUUUUUCAGCUAUUGAUAGUUGAAUUUGAAUAGUUUUGGGACGAGUUUGGUAGCCUUGGAGGAAGUAAAUAGCAUUGGACUAGAAUAAUAAGUUUUGGUGUUUAAUUAUGCAUUGGUUGAAUUAGUUGUUCUUGUUGUUUAGACAAUUAUUUAGUGAAAUAUAUAUCUAUAUGGAUUGUUUGUUGUUGAAUCAA
This is a long non-coding RNA of Lycium barbarum (goji berry), 1292 nucleotides long. RefSeq lists it as uncharacterized. The transcript has 2 exons. Lineage: Eukaryota; Viridiplantae; Streptophyta; Magnoliopsida; Solanales; Solanaceae. The record is from RefSeq and is a predicted model, not a curated record.